UUGAUCAUGGCUCAGAUUGAACGCUGGCGGCAGGCCUAACACAUGCAAGUCGAGCGGCAGCACAAGUGAGUUUACUCAUGAGGUGGCGAGCGGCGGACGGGUGAGUAAUGCCUAGGGAUCUGCCCAGUCGAGGGGGAUAACAGUUGGAAACGACUGCUAAUACCGCAUACGCCCUACGGGGGAAAGAGGGGGACCUUCGGGCCUCUCGCGAUUGGAUGAACCUAGGUGGGAUUAGCUAGUUGGUGAGGUAAUGGCUCACCAAGGCGACGAUCCCUAGCUGUUCUGAGAGGAUGAUCAGCCACACUGGGACUGAGACACGGCCAGACUCCUACGGGAGGCAGCAGUGGGGAAUAUUGCACAAUGGGGGAAACCCUGAUGCAGCCAUGCCGCGUGUGUGAAGAAGGCCUUCGGGUUGUAAAGCACUUUCAGUAGGGAGGAAAGGUUGUAAGUUAUACCUUGCAGCUGUGACGUUACCUACAGAAGAAGGACCGGCUAAACUCCGUGCCAAGCAGCCGCGGUAAUACGGAGGGUCCAACGCGUUAAUCGGAAUUACUGGGCGUAAAGCGUGCGCAGGCGGUUUGUUAAGC
This 587-nucleotide ribosomal RNA is filed under the name uncultured bacterium. Its description in RNAcentral is "bacterial SSU rRNA". It matches the Rfam family "Bacterial small subunit ribosomal RNA", at positions 13 to 588 of the family's 1533-position model. The record is from RNAcentral.